RNAcentral lists this small RNA (289 nucleotides) under Brucella pecoris. Its description in RNAcentral is "Ochrobactrum pecoris 5' ureB small RNA". It matches the Rfam family "5' ureB small RNA". Lineage: Bacteria; Pseudomonadati; Pseudomonadota; Alphaproteobacteria; Hyphomicrobiales; Brucellaceae. The record is from RNAcentral.
CUUCAUCCACCUGUUGCGGUGAGAUGAAAUGGAUAUGCGUGUCGAUACCGCCCGCAGUGAGUAUCUUACCCUCGCCUGCAAUGAUUUCGGUGCCGGGUCCGAUGAUGAUCGAAACACCUGGCUGCGUAUCCGGGUUCCCGGCCUUGCCGAUCACUGCGAUACGCCCGUCUCGAAGUCCCACAUCGGCCUUGUAGAUACCGGUAUGAUCGAGGAUCAGGGCAUUGGUAAUAACCGUAUCCAUUGCGCCAUCAGCGCGGGACAAUUGGCUUUGCCCCAUACCGUCGCGGAU